Non-coding RNA from Drosophila melanogaster (fruit fly), 501 nucleotides. NCBI's taxonomy places the organism in Eukaryota, Metazoa, Arthropoda, Insecta, Diptera, Drosophilidae. The record is from Ensembl.
UGCUAAUAGAAUAAUUAAUGCAAUUUCCCACAACAUUAGGCACGAGCACAGACACACGGACUCAGUCGCAGACGGAGCAAAACGGCCGAAGGAUCCAAGGAGCACAGCAGCACACAGCGAAAUCAAGAUGAGAAGCUCUCUAUCGGACUCGCCAUCCAUCCCGUCCUCGGAACCCACCCCAUCCCCGCCAGAACCCACUCCAUCGCCCCACCACUCGAUUCAGUGACAACUGUCGACUUGGACCGGCCGUGUAUUCUUGGCACUGCGAACCCCCGGGAACUAAGCCGUUCCAAAUGGGGUUUAUGUGCGUGAUCUGUGGGCUCACCAACAGGAUGGGGACUUGAAUUGGUGGAAGGAUACUGCCAAUUGCUUUGCCAUCAUGCAUGUGUCCACUGUACUGUACUGGAUGUAGCAAUUAACGAUCUUUGGCAGUUGAAGAUAACAGAGAUUUUCUCAAUACCACUGAAGCUCAAGGAUCAAUAUCUAAAUAUUUUAUUAUAU